CCUACGGGGGGCAGCAGUAGGGAAUCUUCCGCAAUGGACGAAAGUCUGACGGAGCAACGCCGCGUGAGCGAAGAAGGCCUUCGGGUCGUAAAGCUCUGUUGUUAGGGAAGAACAAGUAGCGCAGUAACUGGCGUUACCGUGACGGUACCUAACGAGAAAGCCACGGCUAACUACGUGCCAGCAGCCGCGGUAAUACGGAGGUGGCAAGCGUUGUCCGGAAUUAUUGGGCGUAAAGCGAGCGCAGGCGGUUCCUUAAGUCUGAUGUGAAAGCCCACGGCUCAACCGUGGAGGGGCAUUGGAAACGUGGGGACAUGAGUGCAGAAGAGGAGAGCGGAAUUCCACGUGGGGCGGUGAAAUGCGUGGGGGUGUGGUGGUACACCAGGGGCCAAGGCGGCUCUCUGGUCUGUAACUGACCCUGAGGGGUGAAAGCGUGGGGAGCAAACAGGAUUAGAUACCCUUGUAGUC
Molecule: ribosomal RNA, 465 nt
Filed under: uncultured bacterium
Lineage: Bacteria
Description: bacterial SSU rRNA
Rfam family: Bacterial small subunit ribosomal RNA
Source: RNAcentral